Molecule: long non-coding RNA, 334 nt
Organism: Phascolarctos cinereus (koala)
Lineage: Eukaryota; Metazoa; Chordata; Mammalia; Diprotodontia; Phascolarctidae
Source: RefSeq, a predicted model, not a curated record
GCAGCAGGAGCACAAGGAAGAAUGUAAGGGCAUCAGAAUAAAUUUUAUUCAGUGCCUACAGUAACAGGGAAAACAAGAAAAACAAGCUUCUCAGGGGAAACUUUUCAAAGUAACUCAGUACUCUGUUUUCACAAUAGUGAAAACAAAAGCAUCUAGUUUCAAUACUCCGGGAGUUAAUCAAACAUCCUCUUUCAAAGGUGGUUACCCUUUUCUGAAUCAUCUACUUGAAGUGAAGGGGGUUUUUUUCCACCUGAGGAGAUGGAAGAAUUGAGUGAAAUGUAAUCACCUGUCAGUAACUUUGGUCUGAAGCAGCCAAUUGAUGAAAUCCCUGGUA